This 719-nucleotide ribosomal RNA is filed under the name uncultured bacterium. RNAcentral's name for it is "bacterial SSU rRNA". It matches the Rfam family "Bacterial small subunit ribosomal RNA", at positions 59 to 760 of the family's 1533-position model. The record is from RNAcentral.
AAGUCGAGCGAACAGAUAAGGAGCUUGCUCCUUUGACGUUAGCGGCGGACGGGUGAGUAACACGUGGGUAACCUACCUAUAAGACUGGGAUAACUUCGGGAAACCGGAGCUAAUACCGGAUAACAUUUGGAACCGCAUGGUUCUAAAGUGAAAGAUGGUUUUGCUAUCACUUAUAGAUGGACCCGCGCCGUAUUAGCUAGUUGGUAAGGUAACGGCUUACCAAGGCGACGAUACGUAGCCGACCUGAGAGGGUGAUCGGCCACACUGGAACUGAGACACGGUCCAGACUCCUACGGGAGGCAGCAGUAGGGAAUCUUCCGCAAUGGGCGAAAGCCUGACGGAGCAACGCCGCGUGAGUGAUGAAGGGUUUCGGCUCGUAAAACUCUGUUAUUAGGGAAGAACAAACGUGUAAGUAACUGUGCAUGUCUUGACGGUACCUAAUCAGAAAGCCACGGCUAACUACGUGCCAGCAGCCGCGGUAAUACGUAGGUGGCAAGCGUUAUCCGGAAUUAUUGGGCGUAAAGCGCGCGUAGGCGGUUUCUUAAGUCUGAUGUGAAAACCCACGGCUCAACCGUGGAGGGUCAUUGGAAACUGGGAAACUUGAGUGCAGAAGAGGAAAGUGGAAUUCCAUGUGUAGCGGUGAAAUGCGCAGAGAUAUGGAGGAACACCAGUGGCGAAGGCGACUUUCUGGUCUGUAACUGACGCUGAUGUGCGAAAGC